CCUUAUGCAUGCUAAGCAUGCACUCUACCACUGAGCUAUACCCUCCCCACCAUCAGAUUUUAAGAGAAAUAACCAGGAGCUAAAGAGAGGACCUUUGAGGCUAGGUUAGCUUUUCCUGAACACUCUCAAUAGAUAGAAAUAUGUAUAACGUGUGUAUGUAAAGUACUACCGCACAGCAAUACAUGGUAUAAAGUGCUUUAUGCACAAUGAGUUGUUUAAUGCUCAACAAUCCUACAAAGUGGGUACUAUUGCCCUUAUUUUACAGAUGAGGAAACUGAAGCACAGAGAGGGUAAUGACUUAUCCAAGGUACACAGCUAGAAAGUAGAGCCAGGAUUCAAACUGAGAUGGAAUACGUGACCACAUGUCAUAUCCUGCCUCACAAUAUAUAUGGAUUAUGCUUUUCCAUGUGGGAUGAAGAUCAGAGACAAGCCUUGGAGGGCCAGUCUACCUGUGGUACCUACUUUUACCAGUAACUAUCUACUCUAGGGUCUGCAGGAGUUUAACAUGCCAUGAAGGAAGAAUAAGAAAUAAGGAUGGGACAGAAAAAUGACCAGGACUAAAAGUGAAUUUUAGCACGAUAACAUUAUAAGAACACUAAAUGUGGGCCACAGUUUGGUUUUUAAAGAUUGACAUGGGAACCUUACAAUUUUAUAGCUCACAGUUUCUAUGAAAUGGAAAUUGACUAAAUGUUUUAAGGGGCUUAAUGGGAUUCUUGUUAGUAAAAAGAAUUUCUGCCUGGAUUCCUGGUAAGUAAAAUACAUCACAAGGGUUUAUUUUUCAUGUAAUGAAUUUUACAAGUCGAUAAGGAAAGACAAACACCUCAAAAAUUUGGUAAGCAAUUUACAGAAGAAUAUAAAAAUCCUUUAAACAAGAAUGUUCAACCUCACUAAUAAAGCUAUAUAACAAUACCUUAGCAUUUUUUACCCAGUAAAAUGUUUUGUUGUUAUUGUCUGAUAGUAUUCUGUUGGUCAACUUUGGAUUAUCUAAAUUGCUUCAAAAUUUUUUGGUAGGCAAUUGGACAGUGUAUCAUAAGCUUUUAAAACUGGGUAAACUUUGGUCUAGUGAUUCCACUUGUAGAAAUUUAAGAAAAUAAUUAUGGAUAUUUGAAAAUAUCUUUCUACACAAGGAUAUUCUUUAGAGUAUUUCUCAGGAAAAUGAAAAAUUAGAAAUAAUCUUACAUUCAGCAAUAUCCAUUUGCUAUGGGAUAUCUGCAGUACUUUGCCAUUAGAAAAAAAUAUAAACUUUGAAGAGGCUACAAUUGCUAUGUCGGGAAUCACUUUUGGAACAACUAUAGCUUAUAAAACAAAAUAGAGCAAAUCUCUAAUCUUGAGGGGAGGGAAAUUAGGAAACCAUUGUUCCCUUACUUCCCACUCCCCAUUUUCUUUUUAACUACCAAAAAUAACAUAUGACACCAAGAGUCUAAGAAUCUAAGAUAGGUUCUGCUGAAAUUCAGACUGUCUCUUCAUGCAGGAAAGAGACCUAAACUUUACCUUACACAAAGAAAAAGGAAAACCUUUCUCGGUACAAAAUCUACUAAAAAUUUCCAAACCUGUUUCUACUCUCUGAAACUCACAGCCCAAAUACAGCAGCUGAAGCAAGUGAGUCAAAUAAAUUUCUUGAUUUCCUACCAUGAAGUCCAGGCACCAUCCUGGGCAGGCACUGGGCCUAGGAAGGUUAUUUUAGCGCCAUCUACCUGACCUCUAAGGGCUCUCAGUCUAGUUGGAGGAGUAAUUUCUUACUGUUUAGUCUUGGGACUUCAUUAAAAUAAUGUGAAUUUCAAGACUCAGAGUUCAGGUUAUUUUGCACAAAGCCGAGAAGCAUCUGGAAAAGUCUUGAGUCAGGAGAUGUGGCGUGUCCCCCUUACUUUCAUCCCUCUUAAAAAUAGCCACUGUUGUCCACGAACAGGCAAUGGACGCCAUGGAGACUCUGAAUCCGGAAUAUCUGAGGGUGACCGGGAAGGUCGGGAGGUGGCUUUUUGAUUCUCUGGCCGUUACCCUGUUGACCCGGACACCAACCGUUUCUUUGCGUUUACGUCACAGAGAUGCUGCUGCUUCGAUCUAUUUCAGUGGAAAAUCUCGCCCUUUCCGCUAGGUGUCAGGAUGGCCGAGUGGUCUAAGGCGCCAGACUCAAGCUACGCUUCCCCGCGUUGGGGAUUCUGGUCUCCGUAUGGAGGCGUGGGUUCGAAUCCCACUUCUGACACAUUCCUUUUUUUUCCCUUCCCCUAAUUUCAAAA
Molecule: non-coding RNA, 2234 nt
Organism: Vicugna pacos (alpaca)
Lineage: Eukaryota; Metazoa; Chordata; Mammalia; Artiodactyla; Camelidae
Source: RefSeq, a predicted model, not a curated record